ACUCCCAUGUGAAGAGUCUUUACCCCUUGCUACGGGAUUCGGUGGCGUGGUGCGACUCGGGGCGAGGCAUGGCAUGCAGGCAGAGCACAGGGACUUGAAGGGCCCUGACCCGCGGCUGGCCAGCAUCCUCCCUGAGGUCGUCCGGCACUCACCGAGGCCACCGCCUGUUACCCACACGACUGACGUCACCGCUUCCGCUCUCGAGCAGGAGCCUGGACGCGCUGCCCGCCUGGGCCGAGACAUGCGUUCCACCCGGGUCCGUGUGGCGCCUACCGCGCAGCACGUGCCCGAUGGAGGGGACGAGCAAGGACAGGAUGAGCCGGUACGACGCAUGGCCCGAUUGAAGGGCAGGCAGUGCGUCCUUGGCGACCAGGAUGUAGCUGUGGUGCAACAGAGGCGUGCGAGCCUUUUUUGAGAGCGUAUGUUUAUCGACUAGUUCGUGGUGGAGUGGGGCGUGCAAGGGCGUCUCACUGCCACGGGCGGACACGCAAAACGUCAAUAAUGUAACGGCCAAACAGCAAGGAGGAACACGCGCGCGCACACGCAGGCGACAGUGCGAACGUCGCACAUAUUGUUCUCGCCCCCGACGGCUCCGCACUGCCUCCGCCUGAAAAGACAGCGUGCGCGCGCGCCUGUUUCUGUCCUCUUUCUUUUCCUCGCCUUGCCUUUUGUUUUUGUGUCAUGGCUUCCUGCGCGCGUUUCUGUUCGUUUCUGUCUUGCGAUCUCGCUUUCGUUCCUCGACUCGCCGACCCCCGCAGCGUCAGGGCGGCGGCCGCCAUCGCCCUCUUCUCCGGGAGGAGGCGUGGUGGUGGUGGUGUGGUGGCGCCGAGCUCUUUGCUGCUGCCAGCGGCAAGGCUGUGCUAUGCGCGCGCGUUUGCAUGCCGGUGUAUGUGCGCCGGCCUAUGUGCACACGCAUGCGUGCGUGUGUGCCUCGUGGCAACGCCGCUUCUUUUUGCACUCAUUCCUCUUCGUCCGCCCCUCUCCUCUCUGCUGCACCUUCGCGCGUGCCUCACGGGUGCUUGUUGGCGAAACACGAUGAUGAGUGGCAACCCAG
This 1054-nucleotide unclassified non-coding RNA is filed under the name Leishmania donovani. Its description in RNAcentral is "gene:unknown". Lineage: Eukaryota; Euglenozoa; Kinetoplastea; Trypanosomatida; Trypanosomatidae. The record is from RNAcentral.